RNAcentral lists this ribosomal RNA (520 nucleotides) under Myxobolus pseudodispar. Its description in RNAcentral is "SSU rRNA". It matches the Rfam family "Eukaryotic small subunit ribosomal RNA", at positions 112 to 644 of the family's 1831-position model. Lineage: Eukaryota; Metazoa; Cnidaria; Myxozoa; Bivalvulida; Myxobolidae. The record is from RNAcentral.
GAUAUCUGUUUGAUUGUCUAACCUAUGGAUAACCGUGGGAAAUCUAGAGCUAAUACAUGCAGUUUAUGGUCAGGCUUGCUUGGCCAAGCAUUUAUUAGUUUUAACCAAUUACUGCGCAAGCAGUAAGGUGAAUCUAGAUAACUUUGCUGAUCGCAUGGCUUUGCCAGCGACGUUUCAAUUGAGUUUCUGCCCUAUCAAUUUGUUGGUAAGGUAUUGGCUUACCAAGUUCGUAACGGGUAACGGGGAAUCAGGGUUCGAUUCCGGAGAGGGAGCUUGAGAAUCGGCUACCACAUCCAAGGAAGGCAGCAGGCGCGCAAAUUACCAAAUCUAGACAGUAGGAGGUGGUGAAGAGAAGUACUAAGUGGUGGUUAUUUACUACCAGCUUGGAAUGGACGUAAUUUAAGCAUUUCGAUGAGUAACUACUGGAGGGCAAGUCCUGGUGCCAGCAGCCGCGGUAAUUCCAGCUCCAGUGGCGUGAUUUAAAGUUGCUGCGUUUAAAACGCUCGUAGUUGGAUCAAGC